AGUGAACGCUGGCGGUAGGCCUAACACAUGCAAGUCGAACGGCAGCACAGGAGAGCUUGCUCUCUGGGUGACGAGUGGCGGACGGGUGAGGAAUACAUCGGAAUCUACUUUUUCGUGGGGGAUAACGUAGGGAAACUUACGCUAAUACCGCAUACGACCUACGGGUGAAAGCAGGGGAUCUUCGGACCUUGCGCGAUUGAAUGAGCCGAUGUCGGAUUAGCUAGUUGGCGGGGUAAAGGCCCACAAAGGCGACGAUCCGUAGCUGGUCUGAGAGGAUGAUCAGCCACACUGGAACUGAGACACGGUCCAGACUCCUACGGGAGGCAGCAGUGGGGAAUAUUGGACAAUGGGCGCAAGCCUGAUCCAGCCAUACCGCGUGGGUGAAGAAGGCCUUCGGGUUGUAAAGCCCUUUUGUUGGGAAAGAAAUCCAGCUGGUUAAUACCCGGUUGGGAUGACGGUACCCAAAGAAUAAGCACCGGCUAACUUCGUGCCAGCAGCCGCCGUAA
This 506-nucleotide ribosomal RNA is filed under the name uncultured bacterium. RNAcentral's name for it is "partial 16S ribosomal RNA". It matches the Rfam family "Bacterial small subunit ribosomal RNA", at positions 29 to 523 of the family's 1533-position model. The record is from RNAcentral.